RNAcentral lists this ribosomal RNA (462 nucleotides) under Shuttleworthella satelles. RNAcentral's name for it is "bacterial SSU rRNA". It matches the Rfam family "Bacterial small subunit ribosomal RNA", at positions 28 to 488 of the family's 1533-position model. Lineage: Bacteria; Bacillati; Bacillota; Clostridia; Lachnospirales; Lachnospiraceae. The record is from RNAcentral.
GAUGAACGCUGGCGGCGUGCUUAACACAUGCAAGUCGAACGAGAAAUGAUAUUACGAUCUCUUCGGAGUGACGGUUUUAUUUCGAGUGGCGGACGGGUGAGUAACGCGUGAGCAACCUGCCCUAUACCGGGGGAUACCAGUUGGAAACGACUGUUAAUACCGCAUAAGCGCACGAUAAGACAUCUUGUUGUGUGAAAAACUCCGGUGGUAUAGGAUGGGCUCGCGUAUGAUUAGCCAGUUGGCGGGGUAAAGGCCCACCAAAGCGACGAUCAUUAGCCGACCUGAGAGGGCGACCGGCCACAUUGGGACUGAGACACGGCCCAAACUCCUACGGGAGGCAGCAGUGGGGAAUAUUGCACAAUGGGCGAAAGCCUGAUGCAGCGACGCCGCGUGAGUGAGGAAGUAUUUCGGUAUGUAAAGCUCUAUCAGCAGGGAAGAAAGAAAUGACGGUACCUGAGAAGA